GGCCUCGAGCCGUUCGGGUACUUCCGAUCCCUCGGCGUAAAAAAGUACCAUUCCCUCUGCCCGAACAACGCCAUCUCUGCACAAUUCAGAACACCAGAAGGUGAUUCGAGAUGCAUGGGAGGUGUUUGAUGCAUUAAAAUCCAGAUCGACGUUUGCAUCCUAACUGUUCGAUCUGAUGUGAUGAUAACCUACCUGGAAGGUCCCAGGGGUCGUACUUGUAGAGAUCGACCUCGCGGAUGAUCGGCACGGGGAGGCGCUGGCCGGCGGCCCUGCGGCAGAGGUAGUGGACGACGAGCUCCUCGUCGGUGGGAUGGAACCGGAACCCCGGCGGCAGGUUCAGCUCGGC
Molecule: long non-coding RNA, 346 nt
Filed under: Musa acuminata (dwarf banana)
Lineage: Eukaryota; Viridiplantae; Streptophyta; Magnoliopsida; Zingiberales; Musaceae
Description: long non-coding RNA (MACU_LNC002441)
Source: RNAcentral